ACGAAGGAUGCAAGCGUUAUCCGGAUUCAUUGGGUUUAAAGGGUGCGUAGGCGGCCUUGUAAGUCAGUGGUGAAAUCUUCUCGCUUAACGAGAAAACUGCCAUUGAUACUGCUAGGCUUGAGUACAGAUGCUGUGGGCGGAAUAUGACAUGUAGUGGUGAAAUACAUAGAGAUGUCAUAGAACACCGAUUGCGAAGGCAGCUCACAAAACUGUAACUGACGCUGAGGCACGAAAGUGCGGGGAUCAAACAGGA
This 253-nucleotide ribosomal RNA is filed under the name uncultured prokaryote. Its description in RNAcentral is "partial 16S ribosomal RNA". It matches the Rfam family "Bacterial small subunit ribosomal RNA", at positions 525 to 777 of the family's 1533-position model. The record is from RNAcentral.